CUGUCUGAAUAUGGGGGGCCCAUCCUCCAAGGCUAAAUACUCCUGACUGACCGAUAGUGAACCAGUACCGUGAGGGAAAGGCGAAAAGAACCCCGGCGAGGGGAGUGAAAAAGAACCUGAAACCGUGUACGUACAAGCAGUGGGAGCACGCUUAGGCGUGUGACUGCGUACCUUUUGUAUAAUGGGUCAGCGACUUAUAUUCUGUAGCAAGGUUAACCGAAUAGGGGAGCCGAAGGGAAACCGAGUCUUAACUGGGCGUUAAGUUGCAGGGUAUAGACCCGAAACCCGGUGAUCUAGCCAUGGGCAGGUUGAAGGUUGGGUAACACUAACUGGAGGACCGAACCGACUAAUGUUGAAAAAUUAGCGGAUGACUUGUGGCUGGGGGUGAAAGGCCAAUCAAACCGGGAGAUAGCUGGUUCUCCCCGAAAGCUAUUUAGGUAGCGCCUCGUGAAUUCAUCUCCGGGGGUAGAGCACUGUUUCGGCAAGGGGGUCAUCCCGACUUACCAACCCGAUGCAAACUGCGAA
RNAcentral lists this ribosomal RNA (525 nucleotides) under Shigella sonnei. Its description in RNAcentral is "partial 23S ribosomal RNA". It matches the Rfam family "Bacterial large subunit ribosomal RNA", at positions 434 to 960 of the family's 2925-position model. Lineage: Bacteria; Pseudomonadati; Pseudomonadota; Gammaproteobacteria; Enterobacterales; Enterobacteriaceae. The record is from RNAcentral.